AGCAGAGUGGCUUAGUGGGAACAGCGCGGGCUUGGGAGUCAGAAGAUGUGGGUUCUAAUCCCGGCUCUGCCA
This 72-nucleotide transfer RNA is filed under the name Ornithorhynchus anatinus (platypus). It matches the Rfam family "tRNA". Rfam says of the family: Transfer RNA (tRNA) molecules are approximately 80 nucleotides in length. The record is from Rfam by way of RNAcentral. Lineage: Eukaryota; Metazoa; Chordata; Mammalia; Monotremata; Ornithorhynchidae.